CUUGAGUUAUAAACAUAAGAGGUCCAGCCUGCCCAGUGAUUAAAUUUAACGGCCGCGGUAUCCUAACCGUGCGAAGGUAGCGUAAUCACUUGUUCUUUAAAUGAGGACUAGUAUGAAUGGCACCACGAAGGUUUUACUGUCUCCUUUUCCCAAUCAGUGAAACUAAUCUUCCCGUGAAGAAGCGGGAAUAAACGAAUAAGACGAGAAGACCCUAUGGAGCUUUAAACACAAUAACAAAUACUACUUUAAACAAAAAUUUCUUAAUGACUUACUCCCUGGUGUUAUGAUUAUUAGUUUUAGGUUGGGGUGACCGCGGAGAAAAACACAACCUCCACAUUGAAUGAUAAAAUUCUAAGCAAAGAAUUACAUUUCCACGCAUCAAUACAUUGACAUCAAUUGACCCAAUUAUUUUGAUCAACGAAC
This 423-nucleotide ribosomal RNA is filed under the name Atelopus flavescens group sp. ABGD cluster 1. RNAcentral's name for it is "partial large subunit ribosomal RNA". It matches the Rfam family "Bacterial large subunit ribosomal RNA", at positions 1822 to 2457 of the family's 2925-position model. Lineage: Eukaryota; Metazoa; Chordata; Amphibia; Anura; Bufonidae. The record is from RNAcentral.